Vollenhovia emeryi is the source of this 340-nucleotide long non-coding RNA. RefSeq lists it as uncharacterized. The record is from RefSeq and is a predicted model, not a curated record. The transcript is spliced from 3 exons. NCBI's taxonomy places the organism in Eukaryota, Metazoa, Arthropoda, Insecta, Hymenoptera, Formicidae.
AUUCUAUCGAAGCGUGGAGCUUGUACGGACGAGUUUCGUUAAUCGGAACAAUUAAAUCAAGAAUAACCGGUAACAGUUCACAGGUUUUAGACACAAAUGAAAGGAAUAGCUAAUGAGGACAAUAACGAGUACGCUGCUAACUAAAAAUCUUUCAGAAAUAAAGUAUUUUACGCUUGUGUUGUGUCUUAUGGAAGGCAGAGUGACUAAUAGCUUCUGAAGGUUGAGCGAAAAGAAAUGAUGGGAUAUAGUGGCUAACUUACACCAUUGCGAUUAACACAAAAUGAGUAGUAUUGUAGGAUAUAUAAGCAAGCUGGUACGGUGUACGAGAGUACCAUAAUAC